UGUGUUAAGGACCGGCCCUGCCUCCGUCAGGUACCGUUGUCUGCGGGGGGAGAGAAUCCAGCCACUGCUGCAGGCGGGGUAGCGUGGAGCUCGCAAACAGACGUGGAUGUCGGUCAACUGAGCCAACUUUUCUCACGUUUUGUUAGGAGUGAACUGUGCUUCCAUGAUGCGCCAUUGUAUGAAAUCAGACUGAACUGAGACCCUCCUGGGUCAGCAGAUAAUCACAGGAGGGAGUGACUAAAAUCACGGAAGAAGGGGAAACUGUUUUAUUUGUAAAAGUCAUAUGAUAUUUACAGCACAGUCUCUAAACUCAGUGUGUGAAAGUCAGUCCGGCUCAUUUAAUGACACUGAGAUGAUUGAGAGAUGAUGAUAAUGAAAAUGCAACAACUUUUUCUAAUGCAGUGUGUGCUUAUAUUAGCACAAACCCUUUUCUUAAGUCCUGUAGACCUGGUCUUUCCAAAAUGUAUGAAUUAACCUUAAAGAUUUUAAUGUGUAAGAAAUGUGCUUAGUCUUGAUUUAUGUCCAGUCAUCCAACUUUUUUGGGUUGUGUACUUUGUUUUUGUUUUUUUGUUGUUGUUAUGUUUUUUUUAUUUGUUGUUGCUGUUGUUUGUUUUGUUUGUUUGUUUUUUUAAAAUAACUGUCUGCAGUUUGUGUGGCUUUACGGUAUGUGCACGUUUUCCUGGCGAAAAUGUUAGUGUUUUGUUUUUUUGUUUUUUUUAAAAGAGUAACUGUGUAUGUCUUUGCUGUAAACAUGCAAGUCUGUAGGUUAACGCUGCACGCUUUUUCUUAGUUCCUCAGAGUGUGAGUGGUGCAGUGCAGCGCUCCCUUUUUUUUUCUUUUUUCUUUUUUUUCCCUCUUUCUCUUUCAAUUGGCUUUUCAAAGCAUAAUUUAAGUGUGCAGGCUUGAAAAAGUCACGGUGUGGGUGGCAUGGGGGGUAAGUUUCCUAUUUGAGGCAAGUCAGGGUGGGGGUGGUGGGCCUUGUUAAGGAAUGUUGAGGGCAGGGCCACUCUGGUUGGGCGCAGGGGGUUGGAGUGUGAGAGAGAGAGAGAGAGAGAGAGAGAGAGACUUGCCUGUAGCUUUACUUAGCCAAUUUUGCAAGUGACUGUGGAAUUUGCUGCUUGUUGUCUGGCUCAAGGGGGAAGUGUUGUAGUGAGGUGUAUACUGGAGAUAUUGUUUGCAGUCGUGUCUUUAGCUGCUUGUUCAGUCUCUUGUGUCUAAUAAUGUAAUGAGAAGACUGAAAAACGAGAAACUAUUAGUGUUGGGAAGGCCUGUUAUUGUACCACUGGUGGAUAUCAUGGUAAUUAUUAGUGGAGAUUCACCCUUCUAGUUUUAUGUAAAUAUGGCUAAUGUUUAGGGUAGCAUGGUUGUUAGCACUGUUGCCUCACAGUUCAAUUCUACCAUCAGGCCGGGGUCUUUCUGUGUGGAGUUUGCAUGUUCUCCCCAUGUUUCCAUGGGUUUUCUCUGAGCUUCCUCCUAAAGUCUAAAGAUAUGCAGUGAGUGGGGUUAAGUUAACUGGUCACUCCAAAUUGCCCAUGGGUGUGAAGACGAGGUAAUUAUUAAAAAAAUAAAAUAAAAUAAAAAGCAGGAUAUGCAUGUCAUAGUAGUCCCAUGUUUUUAAUGAACAAUGUUACAGCAGCAGCUUUUGUCAUUUUGUCCAAAUGGAAAUAGUAAAAGCUUCAAUCAGCCAAUUGUGUGCUGUCACAAAUGCCAAAGUACAGUGGGAGAGGUUGGAUGGCCAGCAUGCAGACGCUUGCUGCUGUGAUGGUGAUGACAGGCAAAUAUCAGAGCAGACUGGCUCCAUAUGAAAUGCAGCCUAUAGGGACGCUUCAAGCAGGAGAGAGUUAUUCUGCAGCUUCUGUUAAUGUGUCUCCUGACUGACCAGCUAUAUCUAGCCCCUCAAGCACAGCAGCAAGUAGAUCCAGGGGUAAACGCACCUUAACCACCUCCAGAGGUGAGACAUCCAGUUAAAAAGUCAAUGUGUAAAUGCUUCAAGGAGGCCACAGGAAGUUGCUGCACACAAACACAUCCUGGUAGUGUUGUUCUCAGUUUCCAUUUUAUUUGCUGCAAAUAUGAAUCAAAUGUGUAUAAACAAAGCACUUAGCAUGAUGAGCAAAUAAAACAGAUGGAGCUGGACUGGGAAUCAACCCCAACCUGUUCAUAUGUUAUGCUGUGAAUAAAUUCAGUUUAAAUGCAGUUUGCAGUUGAUUAGAUCAAUUAUUCAACUGCUUCAUUUGUGAAAGAAAAUUAACCAUGGUAGUAUUAUUAUUAUUAUUAUUGUUGUUGCGUGAAGGGGGUUAUGGAGUAGAUCAACGACGUGGUCAGGAACCUGACUAUUUCUUGAGCACAAAGUGGGAGAGAAGAAGAGUGGAAUUAAAUUCAUCUGUUGUCUCGAAUGUCUUUGGUUUUAUUGAAUGUCACUGAAAAUGAUGUAGUCUGCCUAACAUGCUUUCUGUUACCAAAAAAAGAGGGAGCGAGAGAGAGGUCAUUGAAAGGACCAACAAAGAUAUUUAUUCAUCAUGCAGUGAAUAAGCUGGAAGCCCUUUAAACACACUAACCUAAAAUGGAAUAAAUCAUAUUUAUAAAACGGGGAAAAUAAAGCCAUUGGAAAACACUACAACACCCCUUUUUCAAGAAGAUGUGAAUUUAAUUUUUCUGCAAAGAGUCCAACAUUUGAAAACUCCCUGUGAAAAAAUAAACUCUUUCAACUUACUUAAAUUAGUAUACAGUCUGUCUGAAAAAAAUGUGAUUGCUUUACUAGUUCAAAAUUCUCUAAACAUUUCUAAAAUGUGAAAGAAGAGUUAAGUUAACGAAUGUGUGUAAGCUAAGUUCUAUAAAUUGAAGAAAUUAAAUUGAAAUUCUUUCACACUUGUUUUCCUUUUUUCCAUUUAAAAAAAAAAAAAAAAAAAAAAAAAAAAAAGGUUCCUCAGUUAACAGGGAGCCCUUACAGCCAUUACUCGGUUGAAAGAUGACAUGAGUCUGCUCCCAGUUACACUAGGAUAUAACAAUGCAGUCUUACAGUUUUGGAAAUCUAGAAAAAUAGUUUAGAAAUACUCCAUUUCUCAUGUGCAUGUUCCCCAAAAUUAUUUUUCUUUUGUCCAGCCUCAUGUCACCAAUUUCAUUUCAAAAAAACAUACAACUCUAGUGUUUAUAAAUAAAAAUAAAUGAAAUGAAAAGUAUACACCAGUUGCUGAACUUCUAUGAAAAUAACAAUUUUGGAAACCUGGCCUGUUAUUCUUGUACUGCUGGUCCUAAUGCGAAUGCAAGUUGAAAGGUCCGAGUUCUUUUGUCAGUAGUCAGUACUGUACAAAUUAUGAUUAAAAAACAAAAACAAAACAACAACAAAAAACAUGUCUGUCGCUUUGGAUGAAGAGUGCAAUACAAUUCUGCACACCAAGCAUCCACUUCCCUUUAUUCAACUUCUAAAAUAAAAAUUUGACAAUCGUAAUGCAAACAGGAAGCAGAAAAUUGUACAGAGACUGAAUGAGACACACACACACACACACACACCCACACAUAUAAAUAUCUUGGAGAGGACAAAGAGCUUGUUCAGCAUCCCAUGAUUAGAACUAAAACUGCAUCGUUCCUCCUGAAUCUGAGGUUUGACGGGCUCUUGUGUCCGUUAACCUGAUGUGGACAUUAGCAGGGAAGCUGAGCAGUGUGGUCUUCCUGUAGUUGGAGCACACCCUCCAGUCCUUCCUCUUAAACCACCUUAAUCUGCCAGUCGAAAGGCAUUGAAUGUUGCCUAACAGAAUCUUUUCGAGGCCAACCAAAAGUCUCGUUCCAUGCCCUCACCAAAUGCCUCCCACACGUAUUGAUUUUUUUUUUUUUUUUGGCUUUACUUCCAUCUACCAAUUUUCUUUGGGAGAACCUACCAGGAGCAAAGGCCUCUAACAACAUGGCCAUGGUAAGGUGGUAAUACAUGGAGGGGUGGUUUGUCAAAAAUAUCCUUGUAUCAUUUUCCCACAGCUUAUCACUGAUGGGUGUGGCAGCUAGUUGUAGGAGUGUUGUCUAUUAUUAUUAUUAUUAUUAUAAUUAUAAUAAUUAUUAUUAUUAUUAGUGUUGUUGUUGUUGUUAUUGUUUUGGUAACACUCUUUUUGAUACAAAGAAGAACUAUCUUCACUUUUUAAAUUGGCUUUAUUUAUUUUAAAUCAGACUUUUCUACCUGUCUGGCACUUGUUGGCUUUGUGAAUAAUAGUGAUUUGAGGUUUGGUAGCCAGCCCUUUCGCUCCAUUAACGCUUGUUUUGACACAUAAUUUAGAGCAAAAAUGUAUUAUUUUAAAAAUGUGUGUGUGACAUUUGUAUCAAAGAACAGAUUUACAUUUUUUUUUAAGUAUUCAUGUGGGGAUGACCAUUUAUAGCCACUUCACAGACUUUUUCGUUCUCUCAUUUGUUAUGUAAUAAGUCAUAAGAUGAUGAUGAUAAUCAUUUUAUUAAGGUUUCCGAGUUAAACAUAGAACAGUGAAAAUGGGAAUAAUUUCAUUGUAUAACUACAUACACAUAACUGAUUUUUCCACUUUAUAUUUUUUAAUUGUCAGUUUAAAAACCAAAAACUUAUAUUAGAAUAUAAAAACUACUAUGUUGGGUAUAAAACAAGGUUUGAGUUCAGUAUAUUGUUUGCCACUUCUUUUAAAGUUCUGUUUUCCUUGUUGCGACCUCUUAAUGUCAUUUUUCCUUUUUUGACUUUCAAAAAAAAGUACAUUUCUUGAUCACCUGUGAAACAAAUUGAUUUUUGUUUUAUUGACUUUUGCAAAUUUGUAUAUUAAACUGUGAGGGCUAGAAAUGAACUUAAAUACAAAAGUUCAUCAUAAAACUGUUUUCAGUAAGUGGUGUGUUCUGAAAAUAAGCCCAUUAAAAAUGAUUUUCUCCUGUGAAACCAUGCAUUUCUGGAUUACUUUCAGCAUAGUGAUAUUUUCAAAUCAUUCCCUAGAAGUCAGAUUAUGGCAGCUUCCACUGGUCCGUCUGCCAUUUUACCAUGGACCUCAAAUAGAAAACACACAAACUUGUCUUUUAAACUGAUCUGACAUUCAUGUUGAGCUUUUUUUUUUUUUUUUUUUCUUCCUGGUUUUUUUUCCUGGUUUUUCUGGGGGGUUUUCUGGUGUCGUGAUUGCCGUUCUCCAGCUACGGCUCAGUGGUUUUCAUUUGAAGUGUCCAGUUUCCAAAGCCAGGUCUUCUUAUCCGGUAAGUAGUGCACUUCACUUCAAAAAACGAGGAAAAAAAAAAAAAGACGAAUGAAAUUUUGUGUUCCUUAGGGGACGUAACGUGUCCUCUUUGUGUGUGCCAGCACAAAGCACAUUGACAACAUUAGUAGUGCAUUGGUUAUUACCUGCUCUGCUCCUCCCUGGAAGUUCCUCCAGUCCUCUAAAUUUCACUGUUUUGAUGCACUGGAGGAAUCCAGCAAACAUCAUAGAGGCAAAGGUGCUAACCAGAAGCAUUCACAGCCAACUUGACAUGCACAAGAAGGACCUAAGCCACAUUUAUUUAUUUAUUGAUUUUUAAUGGGACCAUUCAUAAGUAGUAGACAGC
Long non-coding RNA from Astatotilapia calliptera (eastern happy), 5523 nucleotides. The record is from Ensembl. NCBI's taxonomy places the organism in Eukaryota, Metazoa, Chordata, Actinopteri, Cichliformes, Cichlidae.